RNAcentral lists this long non-coding RNA (1012 nucleotides) under Homo sapiens (human). Its description in RNAcentral is "non-protein coding lnc-SERHL2-5:1". Lineage: Eukaryota; Metazoa; Chordata; Mammalia; Primates; Hominidae. The record is from RNAcentral.
GAAGUGACCUGCCAAGGUCAUAUAGCCAUUCAGGGUGGGCCGGGAGUGGACUCUCAAUGUCCAGCCCAAAGUGCUGCUCUUCCUGAGCCACCUCCCAGGACAGGGGCACUCUUUCUGCUCCAGUCAAAGAGCUCACAGCCCAAAUCUGACAUCCUGCCUCCCACAGUGAGGCCUGAGCACCUGCCCCCAGCCCCGGGGGUCCGAACCAACAGGCGGCUCCACCCCUCCUCAAAUACCCACCAUAGCUCCCCACUGCCUACCCCGGAGCCAGGCGGGCAGCCUCUGCUCACGCCACCUCAUUCAGUCCUCAAGCCUGUUCAUGACUCCUCCCACUUCAGGUGAGGAAACCAAGCCUCAGGGGACAGACUUGAGCCCGGGGACACUUUCUGGCCACUAAAGAGAAGGGGUGGGCUUUUUAUAGGUAAAAGUUCUUAUCUGGGGAGGCAGCCACAGGCAGACCAUCACCGUCGGUCAGUCGUUUAGUCCACAAACCCCAGUGGGCACUGAGGUGGCAGGUCCCAUGUGCAACGCAGGGGACACAGGCCAGGAGGCCCCGCCCGAGUUCAAGCCAGACGGGGAGACAGACACCGGCAGAGAGGGCGCACCACAGCCAGGAGCAGUGGAGGGGCGAAGGUUUCACCUCCAGAAAGCCAGAGGCCCUGCCAGACUCACACGGUGGGGUGCACUCUCUUCCUACCCACACGGGUUGGAACAGGCUCUGCCCCGUCCUCGUCCACAGCACCACCCCAACCCUCACCAGCAGUGGGCCAAGUAAACAGAAGGCAGGUGGCUGAGGCCAAGGUCCCACCCCUGUGCCUCCUCACCUGUGCUGCGUGCACACUCACACACACACUCACACACACAGACCACCUCACCCCAGCCACCUGGGGGCCCAGGAGACAGCUGCCUCCCAGCCCCUGACCUAAUGCCCACAAGCCAUGCUCUGCCCCACCAGGGAACCCAUCACCCGCCUCUCCUUGCCUCUAAUAACACAGAGGGGAAGAGGGACACA